RNAcentral lists this ribosomal RNA (253 nucleotides) under uncultured bacterium. Its description in RNAcentral is "partial 16S ribosomal RNA". It matches the Rfam family "Bacterial small subunit ribosomal RNA", at positions 524 to 776 of the family's 1533-position model. The record is from RNAcentral.
GACGAGGGGUCCAAGCGUUGUUCGGAAUCAUUGGGCGUAAAGCGGGUGUAGGUGGCUCUAUAAGUCAGGAGUGAAAUCCCCGAGCUUAACUUGGGAAGUGCUUUUGAUACUGCAGAGCUUGAAUGUGGGAGAGGGUAGUGGAAUUCCAGGUGUAGUGGUGAAAUACGUAGAUAUCUGGAGGAACACCGGUGGCGAAGGCGGCUACCUGGCCCAACAUUGACACUGAGACCCGAAAGCGUGGGGAUCAAACAGG